AAAUGCUGCAUUAGCCACAAUCUGACACGUAAAUAUAAAAUCUACUUUUUUUUUAUUAUUUUGUUUUUAAAAAAGAAGAAAUAAGUGGAAAAAAAAA
This 97-nucleotide non-coding RNA is filed under the name Durinskia baltica. Lineage: Eukaryota; Dinophyceae; Peridiniales; Kryptoperidiniaceae. The record is from RNAcentral.